Long non-coding RNA from Arvicola amphibius (Eurasian water vole), 693 nucleotides. RefSeq lists it as uncharacterized. The record is from RefSeq and is a predicted model, not a curated record. The transcript has 2 exons. Lineage: Eukaryota; Metazoa; Chordata; Mammalia; Rodentia; Cricetidae.
GCUUGAUGACUAUGGUACCACAAACUUGGAAUUUCACCAGCCUGGAGACCAAGGCAGAAGUGUUAAAUCAAGGUCAAAAUGGUUUACAAAGUGAGACUCUAUAUCAAAACCCAAAAUAAAAGAGAAAAUAAUUUAUUUCCUUCAGUAAAUACUUUCUCCUUUGAUUGGCUUGUUUGGAUACAUGCUGAUCCUAGCACUGCAGAAAAGACAGAGGUGACUCUCAGAAUGACCUCAAGAAAUGGUAUUAGCCAACGAUAGCUGACCUGAGCUAUUGGGAGCUCACAAACUCUGGACUGACUGCUGGGGAUCCUGCAUGGGACUGACUGAACUAAGUCCUCUGAAUGUGGUGACAAUUAUGUGGCUUGAUCUGUUGCGGGGGGGGGGGUAUGCGUGGCAGUUGGAUCAGGACUUAUCAUGGGUGUGUUAACUGACUUUUUCAAGCUCAUUCCCUCUGCUGGGAUGGAUACCUUUCUCAAUCUUGAUGUGAGGGAGGAGCUUGGUCCUGCUUCAACUUUGCAAACCAGGUUUUGUUGACUCCCCAAGGGAGGUCUUACCCCCUCUUAGGAGUGGAUGGCGGGGGAGGUGGUGGAAUGGGAGGAAGUAGGAGGAGGAGAAGGGGAGGGAAGGGAAACUUGGUCUGGUAUGUAAAAUGAAAAAAAAUUAAAUAAAAUAAAUAUGACAACUGUAACAUGA